AUUGAACGCUGGCGGCAUGCCUUACACAUGCAAGUCGAACGGUAACAGGUCUUCGGAUGCUGACGAGUGGCGAACGGGUGAGUAAUACAUCGGAACGUGCCUAGUAGUGGGGGAUAACUACUCGAAAGAGUGGCUAAUACCGCAUGAGAUCUACGGAUGGAAGCAGGGGAUCGCAAGACCUUGUGCUACUAGAGCGGCCGAUGGCAGAGUAGGUAGUUGGUGGGAUAAAAGCUUACCAAGCCGACGAUCUGUAGCUGGUCUGAGAGGACGAUCAGCCACACUGUGACUGAGACACGGCCCAGACUCCUACGGGAGGCAGCAGUGGGGAAUUUUGGACAAUGGGCGAAAGCCUGAUCCAGCAAUGCCGCGUGCAGGAUGAAGGCCUUCGGGUUGUAAACUGCUUUUGUACGGAACGAAAAGCCCCGGGUUAAUACCCUGGGGUCAUGACGGUACCGUAAGAAUAAGCACCGGCUAACUACGUGCCAGCCGCCGCAGUAA
RNAcentral lists this ribosomal RNA (498 nucleotides) under uncultured bacterium. Its description in RNAcentral is "partial 16S ribosomal RNA". It matches the Rfam family "Bacterial small subunit ribosomal RNA", at positions 30 to 523 of the family's 1533-position model. The record is from RNAcentral.